UAAGCACUCUGGAGAAAAAUAAACCAUGGAAGGUGGAUAGAAAGUUUGGAGGGAGGGUUGCACUUCUAUAUCAGAUGGUCAGGAAUGGCUGCCCUCAGAAGGUGGUAGGAUCGUUCCAGCUGCUGCACUGAGAAGUGACUGAGGGGGCACAGAGACAAAGUAGAGAGACCAGUUAUGAGGCAAAGAUCCAGAUGGGUCUUUGCAGAGACCAGAUUUGACUUCUGCUUCAUGAGAAAAUUUGAAAAUAUUUCUUUUAACAGGCAGGAGAAACAAUUUCUUGGCUGUUUUGACAAGUCUGAGAUGUUUAAGGAGUUACUGGCUGGAACUCGACACUGAUUAUCCUAAAGGAUUUCUAAGGGUUGUGCACUUGAAAAGGGGCCUGGGAACUGAGGAGAAGCCUAUGCUUUUAAAGUAAGAGCAGGUCGUAAGCUGUAACGCGGCAAGUGGAGGCUGAGAAGACGUGGACAGGAAGUUGCUACUGAGAAAUG
RNAcentral lists this long non-coding RNA (488 nucleotides) under Equus asinus (donkey). Its description in RNAcentral is "lncRNA (ENSEASG00005027199.1)". Lineage: Eukaryota; Metazoa; Chordata; Mammalia; Perissodactyla; Equidae. The record is from RNAcentral.